GUAGGUGGCAAGCGUUGUCCGGGAAUUAUUGGGGCGUAAAGCGCGCGCAGGCGGUUCUUUAAGUCUGAUGUGAAAGCCCACGGGCUCAACCGUGGAGGGUCAUUGGAAACUGGAGAACUUGAGUACAGAAGAGGAAAGCGGAAUUCCACGUGUAGCGGUGAAAUGCGUAGAGAUGUGGAGGAACACCAGUGGCGAAGGCGGCUUUCUGGUCUGUAACUGACGCUGAGGCGCGAAAGCGUGGGGAGCAAACAGGAUUAGAUACCCUGGUAGUCCACGCCGUAAACGAUGAGUGCUAAGUGUUAGGGGGUUUCCGCCCCUUAGUGCUGCAGCUAACGCAUUAAGCACUCCGCCUGGUGAGUACGGCCGCAAGGCUG
Molecule: ribosomal RNA, 374 nt
Filed under: uncultured organism
Description: partial 16S ribosomal RNA
Rfam family: Bacterial small subunit ribosomal RNA
Source: RNAcentral